CCUACGGGAGGCAGCAGUGGGGAAUAUUGCACAAUGGGCGCAAGCCUGAUGCAGCGACGCCGCGUGAGCGAUGAAGGCCUUCGGGUCGUAAAGCUCUGUCCUAAGGGAAGAAUAAUGACGGUACCUUAGGAGGAAGCCCCGGCUAACUACGUGCCAGCAGCCGCGGUAAUACGUAGGGGGCGAGCGUUAUCCGGAAUCACUGGGCGUAAAGGGUGCGUAGGCGGCCCUGCAAGUCAGGAGUUAAAUCCCUCGGCUCAACCGAGGUCAGCUUUUGAAACUGUAGGGCUUGAGUGCAGGAGAGGAGGGGGGAAUUCCUGGGGGAGCGGGGAAAUGCGUAGAUAUUAGGAGGAACCCCAGGGGCGAAGGCGGGUAUCUGGACUGAAACUGACGCUGAGGCACGAAAGCGUGGGGAGCGAACAGGAUUAGAUACCCCUGGAGUC
Molecule: ribosomal RNA, 440 nt
Filed under: uncultured bacterium
Lineage: Bacteria
Description: bacterial SSU rRNA
Rfam family: Bacterial small subunit ribosomal RNA
Source: RNAcentral